This 141-nucleotide unclassified non-coding RNA is filed under the name uncultured Hyaloscypha. RNAcentral's name for it is "sequence contains ITS2". The record is from RNAcentral. Lineage: Eukaryota; Fungi; Ascomycota; Leotiomycetes; Helotiales; Hyaloscyphaceae.
UAACCACUCAAGCUUAGCUUGGUAUUGGGGUUCGCGUGCUCGCGACCCUUAAAAUCAGUGGCGGUGCCGUCUGGCUCUAAGCGUAGUAAUUCUCUCGCUAUAGAGUUCCGGCGGUUGCUUGCCAGAACCCCCCACUUUUAA